GCCGAAAUAGCUCAGGUGGGAGAGAGUCAGACUGAAGAUCUGAAGGUCCCUGGUUCAAUCCCGGGUUUCGGCA
This 73-nucleotide transfer RNA is filed under the name Dendronephthya gigantea. Its description in RNAcentral is "tRNA-Phe". It matches the Rfam family "tRNA". Rfam says of the family: Transfer RNA (tRNA) molecules are approximately 80 nucleotides in length. Their secondary structure includes four short double-helical elements and three loops (D, anti-codon, and T loops). Lineage: Eukaryota; Metazoa; Cnidaria; Anthozoa; Malacalcyonacea; Nephtheidae. The record is from RNAcentral.